GCCCUGACUCCGGGAUAAGCGGUGGAAACGCCGUCUAAUACCGGGAUACGACCCUCUUCCGCAUGGUCGAGGGUGGAAAGUUUUUCGGUCGGGGAUGGGCUCGCGGCCUAUCAGCUUGUUGGUGGGGUAACGGCCUACCAAGGCGAUUACGGGUAGCCGGCCUGAGAGGGCGACCGGCCACACUGGGACUGAGACACGGCCCAGACUCCUGCGGGAGGCAGCAGUGGGGAAUAUUGCGCAAUGGGCGAAAGCCUGACGCAGCGACGCCGCGUGGGGGAUGACGGCCUUCGGGUUGUAAACCUCUUUUACCACUCACGCAGGCUCCGCGUUCUCGCGGGGUUGACGGUAGGUGGGGAAUAAGGACCGGCUAACUACGUGCCAGCAGCCGCGGUAAUACGUAGGGUCCGAGCGUUGUCCGGAAUUAUUGGGCGUAAAGAGCUCGUAGGCGGCGUGUCGCGUCUGCUGUGAAAGACCGGGGCUUAACCCCGGUUCUGCAGUGGAUACGGGCAUGCUAGAGGUAGGUAGGGGAGACUGGAAUUCCUGG
Molecule: ribosomal RNA, 544 nt
Filed under: Nocardiopsis sp. AC-1
Lineage: Bacteria; Bacillati; Actinomycetota; Actinomycetes; Streptosporangiales; Nocardiopsidaceae
Description: bacterial SSU rRNA
Rfam family: Bacterial small subunit ribosomal RNA
Source: RNAcentral